GACGAACCGUGCGAACGUUGUUCGGAAUCACUGGGCUUAAAGGGCGCGUAGGCGGGCACUCAAGUCGGUGGUGAAAUCCUCCGGCCUAACCGGAGAAGAGCUGUCGAUACUGGGUGCCUCGAGUGGUGCAGGGGUCUGCGGAACUUCGGGUGGAGCGGUGAAAUGCGUAGAGAUCGGAAAGAACACCAACGGCGAAAGCACUCUGCUGGGCCGACACUGACACUGAGAGACGAAAGCUAGGGGAGCGAAUGGG
This 253-nucleotide ribosomal RNA is filed under the name uncultured bacterium. Its description in RNAcentral is "partial 16S ribosomal RNA". It matches the Rfam family "Bacterial small subunit ribosomal RNA", at positions 524 to 776 of the family's 1533-position model. The record is from RNAcentral.